RNAcentral lists this non-coding RNA (29 nucleotides) under Rattus norvegicus (Norway rat). The record is from RNAcentral. Lineage: Eukaryota; Metazoa; Chordata; Mammalia; Rodentia; Muridae.
UNGGCAUUACUGGCUUAUGGUGUGGCAGG